CCUACGGGUGGCAGCAGUGAGGAAUAUUGGUCAAUGGACGAGAGUCUGAACCAGCCAAGUAGCGUGAAGGAUGACUGCCCUAUGGGUUGUAAACUGCUUUUGUACGAGGGUAAAUCCCGAUACGUGUAUCGGGUUGAAAGUAUCGUACGAAUAAGGAUCGGCUAACUCCGUGCCAGCAGCCGCGGUAAUACGGAGGAUUCAAGCGUUAUCCGGAUUUAUUGGGGUUAAAGGGUGCGUAGGCGGUUCGAUAAGUUAGAGGUGAAAUCCCGGGGCUCAACUCCGGCACUGCCUCUGAUACUGUCGGGCUAGAGUUUAGUUGCGGUAGGCGGAAUGUAUGGUGUAGCGGUGAAAUGCAUAGAGAUCAUACAGAACACCGAUUGCGAAGGCAGCUUACCAAACUACGACUGACGUUGAGGCACGAAAGCGUGGGGAGCAAACAGGAUUAGAUACCCUUGUAGUC
RNAcentral lists this ribosomal RNA (460 nucleotides) under uncultured bacterium. RNAcentral's name for it is "partial 16S ribosomal RNA". It matches the Rfam family "Bacterial small subunit ribosomal RNA", at positions 338 to 795 of the family's 1533-position model. The record is from RNAcentral.